AUUGGAUUAUAACAUUAUAUAGCUUUCAGAUGUACAUCAUAAUAUAUUUCGGAUUCAUGUUCACCACCCAAAAGCUAAUUAUAGUCCAUAUCCUCACAUGUGAGCUUAAUCACCCCUUUUGCCCUCCCCCCUCCCCUAUGGUAACCACCAAUCCAAUCUCCAUUGCUAUGUGUUUGUUGCUAUUUUUAUCUUCUACUUGUGAGUGCAAUCAUACGGUAUUUGACUUUCUCCCUCUGACUUAUUUCACUUUGCAUAAUACCCUCAAGGUCCAUCCAUGUUGUCACAGAUGGCCCGAUUUCAUAAUUUCUUAUGGCUGAGUAGUAUACCAUUGUGUAUAUAUACCACAUCUUCUUUAUCUAUUCAUCCCUUGAUAGGCACCGAGGUUGCUUCCAAAUCUUGGCUAUUGUGAAUAAUGCUGCAAUGAAUAUAGGCGUGCAUGUAUCUUUAUGCAUUUGUGUUUUCAAGUUCUUUGGAUAAAUACCCAACAGUGGGAUAGCUGGAUGAUAUAGUAGAUCUAUUCUUAAUUUUCUGAGGAUACUCCAUACUGCUUUCCACAGUGGCUGCACCAGUUUGCACUGCCACCAGCAGUGAACAAGGGUUCCCAUCUCUCCACAUCUUCUCCAACACUUGUUGUUUCCUGUCUUGAUAGUUACAGCCAUUCUGACUGGAGCGAGGUGAUACCUCAUUGUAGUUUUGAUUUGCAUUUCCCUGAUAGCUAACGAUGUUGAGUAUCUUUUCAUAUGCCUGUUGGCCAUCCAUAUAUCUUCUUUGGAGAAAUCUCUGUUCCGAUCUUUUGCCCAUUUUUUAAUUGGGUUGUUGGUUUUUUUGUUGUUGAGCUGUAUGAGUUCUUUGUAUAUUUUGGAUAUUAACCCCUUAUCUGAUAUAUGGUUUGCAAAUAUCGUCUCCCAAUUGUUAGGUUGUAUUUUCAUUUUGUUGAUGGUUUCCUUUGCUGUGCAGAAGCUUUAGUUUGAUGUAGUCCCAUUUGUUCAUUUUUUCUUUUGUUUUCUUUGCCCAGUCACACAUGGUACUUGAAAAUAUGCUGCUCAGACCAAUGUCAAAGAGCGUACUGCCUAUGUUUUCUUCUAGAAGUUUCACAGUUUUGGGUCUUACAUUCAAGUCUUUAAUCCAUUUUGAGUUGAUUUUUGUGCAUGGUGUAAGGGAAUGGUCUACUUUCAUUCUUUUGCAUGUGGCUGUCCAGUUUUCCCAACACCAUUUAUUGAAGAGACUCUCCUUUCUCCAUCGUAUGCUCUUGGCUCCCUUGCCGAAUAUUAGCUGUCCAUAAAUGUGUGGGUUUAUUUCUGGGCUCUCAAUUCUGUUCCAUUGAUCUGUGUGUCUGUUUUUGUGUCAGUACCAUGCUGUUUUAGUUACUAUGGCUUUGUAGUAUAUUUUUAAAUCAGGGAGUGUGAUACCUCCAGCUUUGUUCUUUUUUCUCAGGAAUCCUUUGGCUAUUCGGGAUCUUUUGUUGUUCCAUAUAAAUUUUAGGAUUCUUUGUUCUAUUUCUGUGAAAAGUGUUGUUGGAACUUUGAUAGAGAUUGUGUUUAAUCUGUAGAUUGCUUUAGGAAGUAUGGACAUUUUAACAAUGUUAAUUCUUCCAAUCCAAGAGCACGGGAUAUCUUUCCAUUUCUUUGUGUCUUCUUCGAUUUCUUUCAACAAUGUUUUAUAGUUUUCAGUGCACAGAUCUUUCACCUCUUUGGUUAAGUUUAUUCCUAGGUAUUUUAUUUUUUUUGUUGCAAUUGUAAAUGGGAUUGUAUUCUUAAUUUCUCUUUCUGCUACUUCGUUGUUAGUGUAUAGAAACGCAACUGAUUUUUGUAUGUUGAUUUUGUGUCCUGCAACUUGACUGUAUUCAUUUAUUAGUUCUAAAAGUUUUUUAGUGGAUUAUUUAUGGGUUUCUAUAUAUAAAAUUAUGUCAUCUGCAAAGAGUGACAGUUUCACUUCUUCUUUUCCAAUAUGGAUCCCUUUUAUUUCUUUUUCUUACCUGAUUGCUCUGGCUAGGACUUCCAAUACUAUGUUAAAUAAGAGUGGUGACAAUGGGCAGCCUUGUCUGGUUCCUGUUCUUAGGGGGAUAGCUUUCAGUUUUUCUCCAUUGAGAAUGAUAUUUGCUGUGGGUUUGUCAUAUAUGGCCUUUAUUAUAUUGAGGAAUUUUCCUUCUAUAUCCAUUUUAUUUAGAGUUUUUAUCAUAAAUGGAUGCUGUAUCUUGUCAAAUGCUUUCUCUGCAUCUAUUGAGAUGAUCAUGUGAUUUUUAUUCUUCAUUUUGUUAAUGUGGUGUAUCACGCUGAUAGAUUUGCAGAUGUGGAACCAUCCCUGCAUCCCUGGAAUGAAACCCACUUGGUCAUGAUGUAUCAUCUUUUUAAUGUAUUGUUGCAUUCAAUUUGCUAGUAUUUUGUUGAGGAUUUUUGCAUCAAUGUUCAUCAGUGAUAUUGGCCUGUAAUUUUCUUUUUUUGUGUUGUCCUUGUCUGGUUUUGGUAUCAGGAUAAUGUUGACUUCGUAGAAUGAGUUAGGAAGGCUCCCCUCCUCUUCAAUUUUUUGGAAGAGUUUGAGAAGGAUAGGUAUUAAGUCUUCUUUGAAUGUUUGGUAGAAUUCACCAGGGAAGCCAUCUGGUCCUGGACUUUUAUUUUUUGGGAGGUUUUUAAUUGCUGUUUUGAUCUCCUUACUGGUGAUCGGUCUAUUCAAAUUUUCUACAUCUUCUUGGUCCAGUUUUGGAAGGUUGUCUGUUUCUAAGAAUUUAUCCAUUUCUUCUAGAUUAUCCAAUUUGUUGGUGUGUAGCUUUUCAUAGUAUUCUCUUAUUAUCUUUUGUAUUUCUGAGGUGUCUUUUGUAAUUUCUCCUCUUUCAUUUAUGAUUUUAUUUAUUUGAGCCUUCUCUCUUUUUUUCUUGGUGAGUCUAGCUAAGGGUUUGUCAAUUUUCUUUAUCUUUUCAAAGAACCAGUUCUUGGUUUCAUUAAUUUUUUCCAUUGUUUUGUAGUCUCUAUUUAGUUUAUUUCUGCUCUGAUUUUUAUUAUUUUCUUCUUUCUGCUGAUUUUGGGAUUUGUUUGUUCCUCGUUUCUCCAGUACCCUUAGAGGCACUGUUAGAUUCUUUAUUUGGGAUUUUUCUUCUUUGUUGAGGUAGGCUUGAAUUGCUAUAAACUUCCCUCUUAGAACUGCUUUUGCUGUAUCCCAUAGAUUUUGGCAUGCCAUAUUUUCAUUUUCAUUUGUCUCCAGGAAUUUUUUUAUUUCUCCUUUGAUUUCUUCAUUGACCCAAUCGUUUUUCAGUAGCAUUGUGUUUAAUCAUCUCAUUUUUGUGUCUUUCCUGGUUUUCUUGCUGUACUUGAUUUUUAGUUUCAAACAUUUGUGGUCAGAAAAGAUGCAUGGUAUGAUUUCGAUUUUCUUAAACUUAUUCAGCCUUGUUUUGUGGCCUAAUAUGUGAUCAAUCCUGGAGAAUGUUCCAUGGGCAUUUGAAAAGAAUGUGUAUUCUGUGGUUUUUGGAUGGAAUGUUCUAUGUAAAUCCACUAAGUCUGUCUGAUCAAAUGUGUCAUUUAAGGCCAGUGUUUCCUUAUUGAUCUUCUGUUUGGAUGAUCUAUCCAUUGGUGUAAGUGGAGUGUUAAAGUCCCCUACUAUUAUUGUGUUUCUAUUUCUCCUUUUAUGUCUGUUAAUAAUUGCUUUAUAUAUUUAGGUGCUCCUAUGUUGGAUGCAUAGAUACUUCAAAUGUUAUAUCUUCUUGUUGGAUUGUUCCCUUUAUCAUUGUGUAGUGCCCUUCUUUGUCUCUUGUUACAGGUUUUGUUUUAAAGUCUAUUUUUUCUGAUAUAAGUAUUGCUACUCCUGCUUUCUUUUCUUGACCAUUUGCAUGGAAUAUCUUUUUCCAUCCUUUCACUUUCAGUUUGUGAGCGUCUUUAGGUCUGAAGCGUGUCUCUUGUAUGCAGCAUAUAUAUGGGUCUUGUUUUUUUUAUCCAAUUGGCCACCCUGUGCCUUUUGAUUGGAGCAUUUAGUCCAUUGACAUGUAAAGUAGCUGUUGAUAAAUAUGUAUUUAUUGCCAUUUUGUUACUUUUUUUCCUGAGUGUUUUAGUAGUUCUUCUCUGUUCCUUCUUUUUCUCUUGUUCUCUUCCCUUGUGGUUUGAUGGCUUUCUUUAGUAAUAUGUUUGAUUUCUUUUGUCUUACUUAUCUGCUUACUUAUUAUAAGUUUCUGAUUUGUAAUUACCACAAGGAACCUAUGUAAUAUUUUAUGUAUAUAACAGUCUAUAUCAAGUUGAUAGACUCUUUAGCUUAACCUCUUUCUAAAAGCUCUACUUUUUCACUUCCCUCCUCCCACAUUUUAUGUUUUUGAAAUCAUAUAUAAUCUCUUGUUUUGUGUGUGUCUGUCCAUUACCCUCUUAUCAUUGAAAUAGAUAAUUUUAGUAAUUUUGUCUUUUGACCUUCAUCUUAUCUUCACAGGUGUUUGAUCUGCUACCUUUGCUAUAUUUUUACCUUUACCAGUGAUUUUAUUGCCGGGGUUUUUUUGGGGGGAUAUUUUUUUGAUAAUUUUUUAUCCCUAUUUGUGCUCAUCACUUUCCCACUUAAAUAAGUUCCUUCAGCAUUUCUUGUACAAUUGGUUUAUUGGUGAUAAACUCCUUUAAUUUUUGCUUGUCUGGGAAGCUCUUUAUCUCUCCUUCCAUUCUGAAUGACAACUUUGAUGGAUAGAGUAUUCUUGGUUGUAGGUUUUUCCUUUUAGCACUUUAAAUACGUCAUGCCAUUCUCUUCUUGCCUGUAGGGUUUGGACUGAGAAGUCCGCUGAUAGCCUUAUGGGCUUUCCUUUGUAUGUCACUUGUUGCCUUUCUCUUGCCACUUUUAGGAUUCUCUCUUUAUCUUUAAUUUUGGACAUUUUAAUUAUGAUGUGUCUUGGUGUGGGCUUCUUUGGGCUUAUCUUGUUUGGAGCUCUCUGUGCUUCCUGUACCUGAAUAUCUGUUUCCUUCCUUAGAUUAGGAAAAUUUUCCUCUAUUAUUUCUCCAAAUAAAUUUUCUGCCCCUUUGUCUCUGUUCUCUUUCUGGGCCACCUAUAAUACGAAUGUUAGUGCACUUGAUAUUGCCACAGAGUUCCCUUAGAGUGUUGUCAUUCUGUCUAAUCCUUUUUUCUUUUUUCUGUUCUGCUUGGAUGAUUUCCUCUAGUCUUUCAUCUAGCUCACUGAUGUUUUCUUCUGUAUCCUCUACUCUGAAAUUGAGUCCCUCUAGUGAAUUUUUCAUUUCCAGUAUUGUAUUCUUCACUUCUGAUUGGUUCUUUUUUAUAUUUUCCAGUUGUUUGUUGAUGAGCUCACUGUGUUCAUCCAGUUUUCUCCUAAUAUCUGUCAGCAUACUUAUGAGAUUUGUUUUGAUCUCUUUGUCUGGUAGGUUGCUUAUUUCUCUUUCAUUUAGUCCUUUUUCUGGGGUUUUGUACUGUUCCCUUGCUUGGAAUGUAUUCCUUUGUCUCCUCAUUAUGCCUCUUUCUCUGCACUUAUUUCUAUGUAUUAUGUGAGUCAGCUAUGUCUCCUGAUCUUGGAGAAGUGCCCUUAUGUAAGAGAUGCCUUUUGAGACCCAGCAGUGUGCUUCCCUCUCAUCACCAGUCCAAAAGAUCCAGAAGUGACCCCUUUGUAGGCUACUUGUGUCCUACUGCUGUGGCAGGGUUGAUAUUAAUGCAGGUAACCGGGGAAUCUAGUCUUUCAUUCCCUGGCCAGCUGCUUGUAAAUCUGGUUUGGGGAGCCUCAUUACCAUUGGCUACAAGGUCUAACAGCACACUCCUGUUGCAGUUUUCCUGUUAAUUGGGUAGAUACCCAGUGUAGCUGGUUGCUAGGCUCAGGAGCUUACAGUUGCUACAGGCCUCAGGCCUACCAGGCUGUUGUCAGUUCUCUUAGGAGUGUAGCUGAGUGGUGCUGGCCCUAGGCACAGGAGCACUCAAUUGUUUCAGACUUUGGAAGGUGGGACUGAUCCUUUUUAUGGCUAUUUGUGAAGCACAGGUUUUUUGCCACUGAUAAGCCUCACCCCUCACAGGACCACACACACCAUCAACACAGUCCUGGUCCAUGCACACUUCCCAACCCCCUGGAAUGGACCUUGAUGCCCCACUGCAGAGGCCCCCACCUCUCCACCAGUGCCCCCCCACAGUUCACCUGGUCCUCACACAGGCCCUGCCCCACAGAGGUGGACACACUUGCCUGCCUGUAGAGGAUCAAGGCACCCAGUCAAUGCAGGCUGACAAGUAGCCUGAGGGCUUGCUGUUGGGUGGGGCCGAUCCCUAGGGUGGGCUGCCUGCCCUGGCUGAACUGGAUUAAAUCUGCGCUCUAGUGGGUGUGGCAGCCCCCUGGGCUAACAGGCCAGGAGAAGGAUCUCAAUGGUGUCUGUUGGGGUCUGUGUCAACAUGCCUGGACCAGGUCAGAACAAUGGCCCCCACCAAUGUCUCAGUCUCUGGAGAGGACCCUCCUCUCACUGAGAUGCCCCCAGAGCCCACCAAGUGAGUCUCUUUUCAACAAAGGACUGUCAGCCUUCUCUCUGGUGAUUGCAGGUUGCCAAGAUGGGUGAGUUUGUGUGUGGGCCCUUUAAGACCUAAGUCUUUUCGUCUUUCGUCUGAUAGCUUUACUGGGGAUAUUCCCCACUGUAGUUAAUAGCCAGCAAAGCCAGAUAGUAAGAUCCUCAUCUCAAUUGUACUGAGUCUGAAGCCUGCUUACAGCAGUAUUGGCCCCCCUCGCCGAACCUCACUCCUCCAAGGGGGGCCUGCAUACCUUUGGGUGGCUUCCACCUAGCUGGCUGAGAAACUCUGCUGCUCCCAAAGGUCACUUUUUCUCUCCAGCAGGAAUUUCUGCCCCUUCUGCCUUAAUCAGGACUGUCCCUUGUUGUGGGGGUUCUUUUUAUCCAGUUUUCAGUUUUCUAUCCCGGGUAAUUUUUCCAAAAAUAGUUGUAACCUUGUUGUGUUCAUUGGAGGAGAUGAGUUCAGAGACUGUUUCUGCCACCAUCUUGACGAGAUCUCCUACCCCACAAAAAUCUUAUGUUGAAAGUAAUAUAGCGUUUUAAAGUUUAAAGUUAAUUUUCAGAAGUUCAAGUACUGACUCAAUCAAUCAAGGUUCUUAGAAUCAUGCACCAGAGGCUGACUGUGGCUGACUAAGCAGAAAAAAAAAUUAUUAAAAGGUUAUUGAUAAGCUCCUAGAAUCAAUGGCCUGGUUGGAGAAACAGGGCUGAGGUUAGGUUCCCAGGAACUAUGUCCAAAGCACCACUGGCACUUCCCCAGCACCAACGCCACUUAUGCGCCAGACCAGUUUCUCCAUCUGUAGAAUGGAAUUAGUUAUUCAUCCUCAUAUCCUUUCACAAAGCUGAUAUAUAAGCAAGUUAUUUAUUGUCCGAAUAACUUCAGAAUCCCAGAGGUACUUUCUUUUGGGAAUGACUAGCCAUGACAAAUCUGAUUUUCAUAUUGACUCCCAAACUUUGUGGAAGAUUGUAGUAAUGACAUCAUUGGGAAAACUUAUAACUUACUCAGUGCCCUAUUUAUCACUACAUUUCCCACUGUAGAGCACUAGCCUACCAGAACAAAGGAAAUGUAGUUCCUCUUUGCUUAUUAUGGAGGAGGCCCAGACAAAAUACCUUGUCUUCCCCAACCUAAGAUUAAGUGGCUAUGUGUCCCACUUCAUGAGUAUUGGGAAAUGAAAAUUAUGGCUCAGCACCUUACAGAGCUUUAUUUACAAUAACUUCUCCCAAACUGACUUCAGAGAAUUUUGGUCUUCAGUGUGGGGAAAUGUAAUCAGUAAGGCUUAGGCUGUUGUAUAGCUUUAUUGAGCACUUGCUAAUGUUCUAGGAACUGUGACGAAUGCUUCUCAUAUAUUAUUUUCUUAAAUUCUUACUACAAUUCUAUGAUGUAUACACUAUUAUCAUCUCCAUUUUGUUGAUGAAAAAACUGAGUCUUGGAAAGAAUAGGUUAUUCCAAAGUCAUAGAGGAUAAGUGACAGAUCCAGGACUUGACUUUAAACCUGUCUGAUGCUACAGCUGAAGUUCUUAACUACUAUGUGUGGUGUACUGUGAAGGCUUCAGAACUAUGUUCAUACAAAGAGCUUGUCAGCCCUGGUGUGUACAGCAUCACUGCAGCCCUCCAAAUGGUGUUUGUUUCCAGUGAAGUCAUGACCUCAAUUUGCCCAGCAUCUGUGAUUUUGUGCUAAGGGUCAUCUUUACUUCUCAUUUGACCUUUCCCUGUGACUUGAUUCAUAGGUUUGUUUUCCUCCUUCCCAAAUUUUUCUUAUUUUUUUCUGACCUAGCUUCGUUCCUGUCUUGGAUAAAGAUAUUUUUUUCUCACACUUCAUUAAUUUCUAACCAUGGAUAUCCUGGGACUCCAUUCCCGUGUCCUCUUCAGGAACUGGUGACAGUAUAUGAUCAUUCCUUGGCCCUUAAAAACUGGAGAAGUAAAUGAAGAACCUUCUCCAGUCGUGGGAAACAUUGUCUACUUCAUCAGCUUCAAUGACAACAUGCUAUCCCCUUCCUCUGCUUCUAUCUUUGCAUACCCCAAGGCACAAUUGAUGUCCUUUGAUACUGUUUUUUCUAUUCUCUCACCUUUGGAAAGGAAAUCCUCUACAUUCUGAGGGAUUCACCAGCCCCUAUGCUGAGGACUUCCAAAUCAAGAUGUUUGGCUCCAACCUCCUUCUCAACUUCUAUUUAUAUAUCCCCAGUUGUUAGUAGAUAUCUGUCUUCAUAACUCUCACUUAUAGCAUGAAUAAAACAAAACUUUUUAUCUUUUCUUUUUCUUUUUUCCCAUUCCUUUUGAAUUUAUUUCCAACUACUUUUAUCCAUUAUUAGAAUCACUAUUGUCCCCAUUGAUCUCUUAGGACCAGCUAUUUUGAACUUGGAUAGUUCAGUAUUUUUCAUAAAAGGACCAUACAAGUUCUUAUCUAAUAAGAUGUCUUUCUGUUUCUCUCUUCUGAGCUUCCAUGGACAAGGGAGUUCACAAUCAAGGAUGGAGUUUAUCUUGGACACUGAGAGGCACUCUUCGAGGUACUGGGGAUAUGGAGAUGAACAAAACAGAGACGGUUACAAUUCUCAUGGAUCUUACAUUUUAGAAAGAGAGGGGUGUGGUGGCAGCUGAAAACGAACAAAAGCAUCAAUAUAAAGAGCUGCAUAUUAUUCCAGAGAGACUUGAUGCUGGGACCUACAGCUACUGCUUUAUAAUGGUAAGCAACCUGAGGCCCAGAGAGGUGAAAUGUUUUUGAGUUCACACAACAACUUGAGGUGAGUUUAGAUUGGGAUGAUGGUCUUGUGACAUAUUGAAGACACCGACUGAGAAUCACAAGUCCCUUAUCUGUCUCAAGUGCUCUGAUUCUACAAUCGCCAGGCUAUGGUUUUGGUUUGUCCAGCAAGCUUCCUGUCCUUCAAUCAUUGGUGAGGAUUUUUUGAGCAUAGCCCAGUCUCCUUACCUGUGGGAUGUCUUGGGGCUCACUGGCACAUAUUUUCUGUUUUACAGAUAAACUCCUGAUCAGAUAGGCUCAGUCCAUACUCUGCACCUCACUCUCUCUAUUGCUUUGGUGACAGACCAUAUUCCCACUUCCCUCUUAUCCUGACUCCUGACUAAGCACAACCCUUAGAGUCUCUCCACACCUUCAGUCACUGAGGGCUCUGCUCCUUAGUGUGGCGUUGCUAGCCAACUUAUCCCAACUUUGCAGGUGGUACCCAGGCAAUCUCUUAUGUGUGCCCUGUACUGUGCUAGAUGCCAAUAGAGACAAAAGACUCAGGAAACUUCGUCACAGCCUUUGAUCAGUUGCCUCAGCACAAAGGCAAACUUUUUAACAUAGCUCACAAGGUCCUUUUUCAUGAUUGGGUCUGACCUUAAAAUGAAGAAAUCAUGGUCGUUCCUAAACAAAUGAUUGUCCCUCCAAUAUCACAGGUUACAUUCUAUUCUUUCCCCUUUCCUUACUUGUAACUCCCUCUUCCAAAAGUAAGAAACUUAGCUCCUCUUGAUAACCGUUUUUUUAAAACUCUGAUUUUUGAAAUAAUUUUAGACCUACAGCAAAGUUACACAGAUAGCACAGAGAGUUCCUAUAUACUUCUCACUUAGUUUCUAUUUAUCGUCUUGAAUAACCCUGGUACAUUUAUCAGAAGUAAAACUUAACAUUGGUGUGUUACCAGCAACUAAACUCCAGAUUUCCUUUACUACUUUUCCCACUGAUAUCCUUUGUUUGUUCCAAGAUCCAAUCCAGGAUACUGCAUUUUAUUUAAACCUCAGUUUUUUGUUUUUUGUUUUUUUGAGGAAGAUUAGCCCUGAGCUAACAUCUGCUGCCAAUCGUCCUUUUUGCUGAGGAAGACUGGCCUUGAGCUAACAUCCAUGCCCAUUUUCCUCUACUUUAUAUGUGGGACGCCUACUACAGCAUGGCUUGCCAAGCAGUGCCACGUUCGCUCACACCCAGGAUCCGAACCGGCGAACCCUGGGCUGCCCAAGCAGAACGUGCGAACUUAAUCACUGUGCCACCAGGCCUGCUCUAGCCCUCAAUAUUUUUAAAGGUACUGCCCAAAUAGUGCUGGGUCUGCAGCUUGAAGGUGAGGUGUGGGCCUAUUUUCUGCACCCUGCAACAUAAAAUCCAAACCUGUGGCCUUUCUGAAUAAAAUUGAAUUUUCAUCUUAAUUUGAAGUACAGGUGUUUAGAGAUGUCAAGCCAUGAGACAAGGAAAAGUCAACAUGAAGUAGACACUUUCUUUCCCAUGAGUAAUAAAACUUUAAGAUCACAAUAUUAUUUCCAUUACAAGAACAUGAAUAAUGUGAACGGUGGCUUUACUAUUGCUGAGUGUUUUGUUGGGCACGUUUCUAUUGAGUCACCUCAUGUUUUAAAAUUCUAGACACAGGGAAAGCAGAGUUGGCAAAGGUUGGCCAAGAGAACUAAGCUCCCAGGAGGUUGUAUUUUAUGUUUUUCCCUAAAAUAAGCCAGAUAUGAUGCUGGAAAUUUUUUACACACUAUUUUAAUUGUACAAAACCUGGUGUGGUUAUGGUUUUCCUCAUUUUUAGAGUUGAGAAAAUUUAGCCAUGAAGUAUUUUAAAAAGUUUCUCAACAUUACGUCGCAGACCAGCAUGAGGGAGAGGGAGCAUCAAGCCCAUCUUUCCUGAUUCCAAAGCUGAGCCCUUCCCACUGUCGAAUGGCCACUUCUCACCACGGAAUCAAUGAGAGUAGAAUGUGCGUAUGUGAACGAACUUGUAAACUUCAAAGCGGAAUAAAACAUUAGGAUUAUAAUCAUUGCAAAUGUUAAUAAUUUAUUAAUUUGUUCUAAAACGUUUUUAAUCCCUGUAUGUGUGAAUUUACAUACAGGUAAAGCAUGUUUAGAUACACUUUGAAGAUAAUUUGUCCUAAAAUAUAGAAACUUCAUUAUCUUAUGUGACAGCACAACAGAACGCCUCUGUUUUUAUAUAUUGUGGAUUUCUAGAAACUUAUACAACUGCUAAAAAUUGAACAAUAGACUUAAUAUUAUGAGGAUUUCUGCUCACAGAAUGCUAAAAAUGUAAAAUCUCUACUUGUAUUUUGACUUUUAGACACCAUGUUCGAGACUAUAAUGAUUUUGUUUAAUAUCUUUAAUUUUAUUAUUUUUUGUUAAGAAAGAUACUUGACCUCUCUAGCCCCAAUUUACUUAACAGUGGGUGCACAAUUAACUGUUUAAAUCUGAUGAGCCUCCAGUUGAGGGUAAAGAUACUUGGCUUCCAGAACAUCUAGUGAUAAACCUCUUUAUCUAAUUUAUAUACCACCUACUACCUUCAGAAAGAUACUUAACCUCUAUGGCCCCAAUUUAGUCAUCAGUAAAAUGGAAUAUAAUAAUCUUACCUACCUGAUAGGGUUGCUGUGAUGAUUCAGGAGGAUGAUAUUAAUAAAGCUUGUGGAGUAGUGCUUGGCACAGAGUAAGCACUACAUAAGCCAUUUGUUAAAUAAAUCAAUAAGAAUAGAGCUUCAUCACAACAUCAAUGGUAAUAAACCUUCAUUGAUUUCUUUCUACAUGCUAUAUUUC
This 11926-nucleotide long non-coding RNA is filed under the name Equus caballus (horse). RNAcentral's name for it is "lncRNA (ENSECAG00000059532.1)". The record is from RNAcentral. Lineage: Eukaryota; Metazoa; Chordata; Mammalia; Perissodactyla; Equidae.